Molecule: long non-coding RNA, 151 nt
Organism: Juglans microcarpa x Juglans regia
Lineage: Eukaryota; Viridiplantae; Streptophyta; Magnoliopsida; Fagales; Juglandaceae
Exons: 3
Source: RefSeq, a predicted model, not a curated record
UUAUGAUUUGCUCUAGUUGCAUUACAACUCUUUUCAAGUGUAAACUAUCAGAAUUUAACAUUGAGUCAAGUACUAAAAAUUACUACAUAAUUAAGUGUUUAAUUCAUUUUUUGGUUAAACAAUUCAUUCACUUUAGCAACUUAAUCAUGUA